Humulus lupulus (European hop) is the source of this 371-nucleotide long non-coding RNA. RefSeq lists it as uncharacterized. The transcript has 3 exons. The record is from RefSeq and is a predicted model, not a curated record. NCBI's taxonomy places the organism in Eukaryota, Viridiplantae, Streptophyta, Magnoliopsida, Rosales, Cannabaceae.
UUCAUCCCUUUUCUCACCCCAUUUUUCUGGACUUAAAGGGGCAUUUUGAAGAUGUUGAAAAGCCACUGCCUUUACCCUCUAAAGCACCAAGAGAAAAAAAGGAGUUGGAUGAGAAUAAGAGCAAAAAGGGUCUGGCUGAAAUUUAUGAAGUUCGUAAUUCUUGGUUUGUUGACAUACAUAACUGAGUUUGUUGUUUCUCAUUUUUUUAUAUUGUUUCCUUGUGGCAUUGAUUUUUAGUAGUCCUCCAAAAAUAAGAGGUAAAUAAUAUUUAAAAUCAAGAUAAGAAGAAGAAAAUAAUUGCGAGGGAAUAACAACAUUACUGAUUAAUAGUGUAUCUUAUCUUGUUCUAUGUCACUACUAAUAGAGCUUGG